This 71-nucleotide transfer RNA is filed under the name Puccinia triticina 1-1 BBBD Race 1. RNAcentral describes it as "tRNA-Und (NNN) (tRNA-Und-NNN-25-1)". It matches the Rfam family "tRNA". From Rfam's summary of the family: Transfer RNA (tRNA) molecules are approximately 80 nucleotides in length. Their secondary structure includes four short double-helical elements and three loops (D, anti-codon, and T loops). Lineage: Eukaryota; Fungi; Basidiomycota; Pucciniomycetes; Pucciniales; Pucciniaceae. The record is from Rfam by way of RNAcentral.
GACGGCUUAGCUCAGCGGUAGAGCAGGUCUUUACCAUGACUGUGACGUGGGUUCAAAUCCCAUGGUUGUCC